Molecule: non-coding RNA, 14458 nt
Organism: Rattus norvegicus (Norway rat)
Lineage: Eukaryota; Metazoa; Chordata; Mammalia; Rodentia; Muridae
Source: RefSeq, a predicted model, not a curated record
AUAGGGAAUGGAUGCGAUCAAAGCAUUUCAUAUGCACAUAUGAAAUUUUUCAAACAAUAACAAGAAAAGAAAACAAAUCUGUCGUGGAGAGGCACUCAUGAAGUCCUAUAUUUCCCUGAGGAGUUUUUGGCAACUGUUAGUGGCUGUAUGGCCACUGCUUUAAUAAAUAGUCUCCCACCCUUGUUCCUGUAAGCAACUCAAGUCAACCCCCCCUCUAACACACAGACACACACACACACACACACACACACACACACAGCAUGAAAGGGUAUGGGAGAGGAAGACUACUCAGGAGUUAGGAGGUGCUCAGUGGGAGGAGGAGAGAGACAAAGGAUGAAUAGGAUCAAAACAUAUGCUUGUAUAAAAUGGACAUAAAAAUAAAGAUGCUAAAAUAGAAUAAAAAGAACUUAUGGAACUACCUUCCAGGAUGAGAGCUGAGAAGACAGUUAUCAUUGAUCAAUGACAGGCAGAAUCACAUCUUGACCACGUUGAUGCAAAACCUACAACUCUCUUCUUAGAGGGAAAGGCAGAUGGUUGAUUCCGGAGCCAUUUUGAGCGAGCAUAGACCAAUACAGAUCUAGGUUACCCCACAUUCCAUGUUUUCGUGCCAAAGCAGUCUUAGUUUUGGGGUUGGCAGGUGCAAGUGGUUGGCUAAAUUAAUAGGUUCCAACAGGUUUCCAUCUAUCGAUCCUAAGAUAUUACUUCAGACACAGAGUUAAGAAAGAAAUGGCUAUUCAGUGGGCUAGAUUAGUCCAAGCUAAGCCUCUGGACCUAGAACAUUCCAAUCUCUCCCCAGGACUGAGAAUCUAAUCAGUCUCUGUAGACACCUCUUGUUUUCAGGUGUUCUCAUUCAUACCCAGGACAGCUGUGAUGUACCCCAUAUUCUCUAUCUCUAUGUAGCUUUCCUAUCAGUACCUCAAACAGACCCGAGGCCCCUGGACAUUGUAUUUGUUAAUUUUCUCAAUGGAGCUAUGCUGGUUAAACUUCUCUCUGCUUUCAGCCUUACUCAUCCCUGUAACUGUGUUAGGGCAGCAGGUCCAGGCCUAAGUUGUUGAGACUGGUAAAACCCGGACUUUUAUGGAAAACAGUCAGGUAAAGAAAGUAGUCUGGGGGUAGAGCCACACAUUUAAUCAGUGACUGUCUGAAAAAGUGCCAUCCUAUCAGCGACUUAAUCCACUGGCCCAAAUAAGAUGGUGCAUGGUAAAACCACGAGGCACCUUUCAAAGAACUCAGGAGACCUGGGUAAGCAUUCUCAGGAUGUAAUCUUUAUACUGUUCACAGCAGUAUAAACCAAGCAGACCAAAAUGGCUGAGGUGGGGAGAGGAGGAGAAACCUAAUGAUCCCAGCUUUGAGAGAGCAUAUGUACAUUUUAGGAAUGUUGUAAUAAACAAUGAGCGUUGUUGCCUCAUUCAAGGUGCCAAGCCUUCAAGAUUUUGGCAGCUCUGUCCUGUGGCACAGCAGGCUUUCUGUCCCCUCCCAGGCAGUCAGAGCAGAGCCUGACAGAGCUGCUUUCCACACUCAUGAUCACAAUCUGAUGGGGGAAAAUUCCAGAAUAGAUUAGAUGUCAACCAAAAGCAAGAUUAAAUAGGAUGAGCCCAACACACACGCACGCACACACACACACACACACACACAGAGUCAGACACACAUACUCAUACACACACACUCCAUGCACACUCACACAUACUCGCACACACUCACACACACACACUCACAAACUCACACACUUAGACCCAAGGACACACUUGCGCACACACACACACACUCUACAUUCACAUACUUAUACUCACACAGAUAGUCACACACAGUACAUACUCACACACACACACUCACACACACACACUCAUACUUACAUUCACACACACCACACUCACACACACUCCACAUUCAUACAUACUCACACACACACUUACACACACACACUCAUACUUACACUCAUAUACAUUCACACACACCAUACUCACACACACUCCACAUACACACUCACACACACACAUAUACUCCACAUUCACACACAGUCACACACACAGUCACACACAUACACAGCACCACCACCAACAUCAACAACAACAUUGACAACAACAGCAUCACCCACACAGUCUUUCAUUUCUCUCUUUACCUUGUGGCUAUAACAAGCGUCUUCAAGGUCUUUGCAAUAAUAUGAAAUCUACCUGCGAACCAUCAUAGACUUGCAUGGUUUAGUCAGAUUCUGUUUAAGCUUUCCCUACAGUCUGGUUUGAAUUUUUUAUGUUUUGUGUGUUUUAUGUUUGGUCAAGUCAUUUUCUCCCUUGGCCCAUUCUUGAGUUUUACUAAAGAAAAGCAGGUGAGGACAUCUCAGCUCACGCAUGGAUAGAUUUUCACAUACUGGACGUAAACCUCUGGCCAACUAACCUACAGUAUAGGCCCUUUAAAUCCAAGAUGGGUGUGAAACUGGGUAGGACUUUAGAAAUGGUGCCACCUAAAACAGCUGCUUUAUCCUCCUGCCCACAGAACCUGGAUUCGUUCUCCAGAGGCAAAAAGGUUUGUCUUACUUUGGGAUUUGUGAUGUGCCCCACUUCAGUGCUUCCUACUAGCAUGGGCAACUGUAAGACCCAGAAGAAAAAAGGUGUCAUCCUAUAUACAGUUAUAAUAAAUAUAAAUAGGAAGGUUAUGUUGUUGGACCUACAUAUUUAAUACAUUUUAAAUUGGUGUAUAUACAUUAUACAUAGUACAUGGUUUUAUAAGAACAUUACAUAUAUAUAUACAUAUAUAUUCAUAUAUCUUAUACUAUACCUCUCAUAAUGCAUUUCCUCUCCUUUCUUCUGUCUUGCCUCUCCCUUUAGUACUCUAGCUUCAUGAGAUAUAUAGAGAUAAAUAGAUACACAUAUAGAUAUAGAUAUAGAUGAGGUUGCUUAUAGGUAUAAGGAUUCCCAAAUGAAAGAGAACAUCUAGUAUUUAUAUAUUUUUUUAAAAUCUUUCUUUAAAUUGUUGGGGGAGUGCACUCGCACAUGGCCUAUUGAAUCCAGAGGGGUCUGUGGAAUCCCCUGACGUUGGAGCUAAAGUGGUUGUGAGCCAUCUAAUUUGGUUGUAUGCCGGCCAUCAACCCAAGUCCUUUGUGAGAGUGAUAUGCUUUUAGUCACUGAGCCCUGGCAUUUGUCCUUUUGAAGUGUCGUAAUUCAUUUAAUAUGUACAUUUAUUUUAGUGCACAUGGCAUAUUAUUUUUAAAAGACCUAUCUGUUAUUAUUUCGCUAUGUGUACGUGUCUAUGUCUGUGUGUGGGUAUGUAAACAAGAGUGCGGGGUACCAACAGAAGCCAAAUGCCCAACCUGGGUGUUGUAGACCAAAUUCACAUCCUCUGCAAGAGAAAUGUGUUCUUAAUUACUGAACUACAACUCCAGCUCCUAACUACAUUUUUCACAGCUCAAAAAAGCUCAGUCUUGUCCAUAAACCAUGUGGUUCAUCAGUUCUCCACUGAUGGACACCGGUGCCAAUUCUAUAGCUUAGUGAUUGUGAGUAGAGCAAAAGUAGAUCAUGCGGUGGGUGCCAAUAUCUCUGUAAUAUAUCGUCUUUAAGUUCUUUGAGAAGAUACUCAAAAAUGAUAUGGCUGAGGCACAUGAUAGGCCUAGGUUCUGUUUCCUGAGAAGAUCUGUACUAAUUUCCACAGCAACUGGACAAAUUUUCACUCCCUCUAUUUGGUAAAUAAUGGCUCGUGUCUGCCCAUGUCAUCAGCAUCCCUAUUUAUUAAUGACUGACAUCUGACAAGGUGAGUCCAAGUCUCUGUAGUUUCUUUUCAUUUAUUCUGUGACCAUUUAACAUAUAUGUACAGUGAAACAUGAUCCAGUUAUUCCUCUGCUAGUGAAGUUUAACGUUUUUCAUGUUUUUGACCAUGUGUAUUGAUUCUGUGAGGAAUCUCUGUUCAUUUCAUCAUCUCUUAGAUUGUGAUGUUUGAUUUCAAUUAUAUAUCAUUUUGACAUUUUUAUGUUCUAUGUGUUAUUCAUAUGCCAAAUAUAUAAGAAGCAAAGGUUUUCUUCCAUUUUAGAGGCUGCCUCUUCAUCUCAUUGUCUCUAUUCCCAUUCAAAAGCUUUUUAAUUCUAUAAGCUCCUAGUUGUCAACCAAUGACUUGUCUCUGGAGCAACUUCCGAAGCCCUUCCCUAUAUCUUGAGUAUUUUCCCUACUCUUUCCUCUGAUAGUUCAGAACUUCAGGUCUUAAACUGAAGUCCUAGAUCCAGAAGGCAUUGCAAAUAAAAAUGGGGAUCUGGUAUCGUUGCUUUGCAUCUGGAUCUGCAGUUUUCCCAGCAUCAUUUGUUGAAGACCAUUGCUUUUCCUCUAGUGUGUCUUCUUUAACAUCUGUCAAGUGCAAAAGAAUGUAGAUGUGUGGGUCUAUAUCCAGCUCUCUCUUCCAUUCCACUCAGCUGUUCCUGUGUCACUAUCAGAGUGCUUCUGUCAUUAUGACUCUGAAGCCAUUCAGGUAUAGUGAUAGUGCCAGCAUUAAUCUUUUUCUUGGGAGUGUUCAGAAGUGUAAGGUAUUUUGUUUUUCUGUAUAUAUUUUAAGUUUGUGCUUUUUAUUUCUUUAAAGAAUGACAUCAGGGUUUUGGUAGAGAUUUUUAGAAUUAUAACUAAUUUCAUAGUAUUAACUCUUCAUAUAACUAUUUCCAUAAUAGUAACUCCUCAUGAAUAUGCAAUAUUCAUGAAGAAGGAUGUCUUUCACUCUUUGGGUGCUUUCUUCAAUAUUGCAAAUAUUCCUGAUAAAGCCUUUAACUUUCUUGUCUAGGGUAUGUUUUAGGCAUUUUUAAGUGGACUUGGUUUUGCUGAUUUCUUUCUUGGUACAAUUGUUCUGGCAUAUAGGUAGAGUGCUGGUUUUUGCACACUCAGGAUUUUGCAUAUCUGCCGCUUUGCAGCAUGUGUCCACAAGAACUCUAACUUUUCUGGUUGAGACCUUAGAGUUUCUGGUGCCUAGCAUUACCGUCUGCAAGUGAAGGUAUUUUGACUUCUUCUUUCUCUAUUUGCACCCCCUUUACAUUUCUCUAGUUAACGUUUUGAAAACAAUAUUGAACAAGACUGGAGGAGAUGGACGUCCCUGUAGUGUUUCUGAUUCUGCUGAAAAUAUUCUCUGAUAUUUUCCCACUUAGUGUAAUAGUGACUAAGGAUUUGUUGUAUGUAGCCUUUGUUAUGGUCAGAUACAAUUCUUCAUAAUGUCUUCAGGACUCUAAUCAUAAAUGGAAGUUGGACUUUGCCAAUAGCUUUUCUGUUCUUGGUUCUGUUUAUAUCAUCCAUUACCCUUAUUGGUUUGCAUAUGUCGAAUCAGGGUGACAUCUUUGAAAUAAGUCCAACGUGAUCAUCAUUAAUGACAUUUUUGAUGGGUUCUUUGAAACAUUAUAUUGAGAAUUCUUACAUUUAUAUUUAUUAAGGAUGUUGGUCAAUAAUUGAGUGUGUGUGUGUGUGUGUGUGAGAGAGAGAGAGAGAGAGAGAGAGAGAGAGAGAGAGAGAGAGAGACAGAUUGGGGUGUGUGUAUGUGAUUAUUGUGUGUGAUUGGUGUCUGUGUAUGUGUGAUUGGUGUCUGGGUGUGUGAUUGGUGUGUGUGUGUGUGUGUGUGUCUGUGUGUCUGUGUGUCUGUGUGUCUGUGUGUCUGUGUGUCUGUGUGUGUGUGUGAGAGAUUGGUGUUAGUAUCAGGGUGACAGCUAGCUCCAUCAGCAUAAUUUGUUAGGAUUCCUUUCUUUUCUGUUUUAAGGAAUAAUUUGGGCAGUUUUGGACAUAGUUCUUCUUUGAAGAUCUGGUAUUACUGAGUGGUAAAUGCAUCUUGGCCUGGACUUUUGUAGUAGAUAUAAAUUUUUAUUAUUCCUUUAUCUUAUUGUAUGUUAUAGAUCUAAAUAAGUAAUUUGUAUUAUCUUGGUUUAGUUUGGCUAGGUCAUAAAUGUCUAGAAUUCACUGUUUAUUUCAGAUCCCCUGAUUCAUUAGAAUAUACAUGACUAAGGUGUAUCCUAGUGAUUUUCUAAGUUUCACAGCAAUUUUUUAUAUCAUCUCCUUUUCCAUUUCUAAUCUUACUAAUCUGACUGUUCUUCCUCCAUAUUUUGGCCAAAUAUCUGCACACUCACUUUAAUCUUCCCAAUGACCAACUUUGUUUCGUUGUCUCUUUGCAUCGUUCUCCAUUUCUGUUUCAUUUCCUCCCUGAUCUUAAUUAUGUUUUUCCUUCAUAUACUAAUUUGCAGUUGGUGAUUUUAGCUUUUCCAAGGUCCUAAGAUAUCUCAGAUUAUUUGAGAUCAAUCAGAUUUUCAAUGUAUGCACUGAUAUCUAUAAACUGUUAGGAAAGUCUAUUUUUAAAUUUUCUCCAAGGAAACCACUGAGAGGAAGUGAAGGGGUGGUAACCAGGCAUCUUCUGUGGUGAUCCUGCAGAGGAUGGUCCUGCAGGCACAAUACGGACAGCGACUAAUAGAUGUUCAAGCAAACUUUCAAGCAUCCAGGCUUGUCACUGUUUGUGGAGGAAUGUAAAAAUAGCAUUGGGUUUGAAAAACAUUGCUGAAUGUCCCUGUAACAUUGGCUCAGAGGUAGUUCCUCUCCCUCACACAGAUAAUGGUAUCAAGUGCCACUUAGGGUUUCUUCUGAGGUAAUGAGAGCCAUGUGAAAUCCCUUCUGUGGGGAUUCGUCCUAUAGGACAGGAAAUAGCAUCCACCGCAUGGAAAUCUGUUCAGUGGGAUGGGUAUUGUCAAAGCCUUUCGAGGACAUCGACAAAGUUGUUAGAGUGCCACGUUAGGAAAACACCUCUGGUUACAAAGAUAAAUGCAGCUCCUCUGAAGGCCACAGGAGACGGGUGAAGACAAUGCAUUGGGUACCAUUUGACUGUGAGGACCUGACAGAUUUCCUUUGCCAGAAUGGGUGGGAUAGGAAGAACAGAGACGGAGCAGUAACUGUAGGAAGGCAGCAUGCAUUUUGCAAGUGUGAGAAUGAUACCAGAUCAGUGAGCAUCGGGGAUUCACUUUUGUCUGCUUGCCUUUGGGGUGUAUCCCAAGAUUAAUCAUUAAAACAUUUUCUUUUGUUCAAGACUGCAGUCUUGCCUAUAUGUCGUCUUAAUCCCCGUUCGCCUACUUAGUAAGACCAUUAUUCAAAUGGAGACCUGAAAAGAAGCCACGGCAUAUUGUAGACGCAUACCUUUGGCCAAUCCCGGAUGGAAAUUAUUUCCUGAAGCUUUGGCCCGAUCUUCUCAGGAUGAGUAGAAAGAGAUGUUAGGGGGAAGGAGGGGGAGCAGGAGACUAGAAGCAAAGUGGACAGAGAUCAUUGUGUGAUUGAUUAGUCUCCAUGGCAAGCAUAGGAUAUGUUUCUUAAUAUUGGCCAGAACAGGAACGACGGGCAUUUAGACUCAGAAAGACAAUGAGCUACUAGAAGAGACAGUGUGGUAAGGAUCUGCCCCAGUUUAUGUCAGGAGUAAUGUCCUCCCACAACUGGCAGCCUUACUUGCCCAGUCCUGCUACAGGAAGAAAAGAACGGGUGACCCAGAAUUGGACAAGGUAGUUCCUGACAUUAAUUCCUGAUAAGAAGUUCAUUUCCUAGGGUCCAGCUGAAGUCAUCCUCUUGAAACCCAUUUCCUUCCUUCGUCCUUCUGGAGCAGUAGCUCUUGGCCCUGGAGUAGAAGAUUCGGAGACCCAAGUGAAUGCUGCAGACGCACAUCUACGCACUGUCUCCCAUAAUCACUGGAGUCCACUGACAAUGGGUUGGCAGCAGUUUGAUUCUGCUGCAGCUCAUGACGGCUGCACGUGGGUAAAAGUCAAAGCCACGCCUCCCUGUUCCCUCCGUGCAGCGGGCAGAAGGCAGGGUGCACCUGAGCUGGGAUCCCAGCCUCGUGAGUAGUCCUGGCUGCGCAUGUGUGUAGCUGCACGGGUUCUCGCAGAGUGGAGUUCUUACUGGGCAGGAAGGGAAGGGGACAUCAUUGCCUACAAAGUUGUCAGCUGACGCCGAAAGCUGCCACAGCCUCCUAAGUGGCGGCUGCUUCCUUAUGUAUGCUACCUUUCUCCAUAGACAUUAUUAACCCAACUCAAUGGUGAACAAGCUGAAUCUGGGGAAAGAUGACUUUGAUUCUCUCAUACCAAGCACCUACGCCUAUGUGACUGUGGAGAGGUUCAUUGUUCAGUCAUUCCCAUCCCUGUAACGUGUCUCUUCCUCUUCCCUUCACAAAAGUUAAACUUAACGUGAAUUUUCCCAUUCCAGGUUACUUGUCCAGCUGAAUCCGGCUGCCGCUGCCCUUUCAAGUGUCUGUGUGUGAAUUAGAGAGAGGCACUUCUCCUCCCGGGUGGAUGCCACCCAGUGCCAAGGCACGUGGCUGGCAAGUGGACCUCGGGCUGGAUUUCAGCCCCCUCGCCCUUUGUCCAGUAUCUUUAUGAAGCCACCAACCUGCCCAGACUCACACAGCAGUCCUGAGCAUAAGUCCCCAAAAGCUGUUGGGUUUGCAGAGCUAAGGACCCGGCUUUGUUUUCCAGGAAGACUGCCUGCGGCAUGGUGAUGCCAGGCUCUCAACUAUUUAGCUAUUCACUAGCUGUGCCUUCUUAAACAAAUAGCUCUGAAAGUUUCCUCUUUUGAAGAGCAUGCACUAUAAAAAAAAAAAAUGAAAAGAUAAAGACUCUAGACAGAAAACCGAGGCAGGGUGUAACUUGGAGGCAGUUCAGCAAAUGAAAAUAUAUCAAUAAUGAAAUGGAACGCAAUUCAAAACAACUUAUGUUGUCUUUGGGCCCCAGAAAUAAUCUCCUUCCCAUUAUUAAGGAAGAUGCUAGCCCUUUCUCAUUUCUAGUAAAUUCAAAUCUUGCUUUCAAAAGAUGAUCAUGUCUAGCUAAAAUUGCUUCCACUUAGCUGUUAUCUUGAAAUGACAAACCCAUUAUUGCUGGCGUUUAUUGGCAUUAUUAUUAGUCAUUGUCAAACCCUGAAGGAAAAAUCAUGGACUGAAACCCAGGAAAAAGUAAUCUUAUUUUCAUAAAUAUGUUGCCAAAUAAUUAUGUCCAAUAUCCACUCCACUUUGGUAUGAACUUCUCACGUGAAACAGAAAUGGCCAAAGAUGGCUUAGAAAUCUGCCAGAAAAACGGAUAGAGAGAUAAGGCAUAUUUUGCAAUAUAUUAGCUUCUGCAUUGAUUGCGAACUUUAGAGCUUGUCUAAGGCCCACUUUUUUCCCCCCUAUCUUUUUCCAAGCACUGAUGGCUUUCUUCAGAGAGCAUAAUCAAUUUACCAAUGGAGCCCUGAGGCUGCCCCCAAUUUCCUUCAGUAAUAUAUGUUAAUGAUCUAGCAAAGGUAGCUUCUGAAUUAUUUAAGAAAUGAGAGGGAAUGAAAUUCAUCCCAGAGUUAAGGGUUGCAGUCUUCCUUACAUCCUCCGCCCACGGUGGCCAUAUACCAAUCACACCAACAUUGUUCCCUCUAGAAUUUAGAGCCUUUCGUUGUGCAUAGAUAAGAAGUCGCAAGCAACUAAGUGGGCACCAACCAGCUGUGAGACUAUACUGAGGGAUAUUUGGAAAUCAAAGGGCUUUUGAAAUAAGGGCUUGAACUUGAAAUGGAUAGCAUAUAGAGAAAUAGUGCCUGUUACUGUCUCCGUGUGCCCUUAACUUCCCUAUAUGCGGUUGUCCCUUCCCAAGUCUAUACCGCUGGAUACGUUUAUCUAUAGUGAGACAUAAAUAGCUUAUCAUCACUUCCUGAUACAUGACGCUUUGUUUCCAACAGUUAGUUAGCUCCACCAAUGAGCAGAGAGAGGCGGGACAUCAGACAGAAUCUUCCUGUCCACCCCUUGCCUGCAGAGGACAGCUUGUCUGGUGUUCACUUGCAAAAAUGCUUCAGUCCAGAUGAGAGAGAAAAGCCCCCCCAAACACCUCAAGUGGGCAAUCUUUCAUCCCUUCGCAAAGGAAGAAGAGAACGAGCAGUUAUUAACUAUGGCAGGAAAGACAGACUCUGAGAAGCCGGAAGUUGUCCUCUGGAAAAAUAGCCCGAAGUGCCGGACCGGAAGUAGCGCAGGGUACUUUGGAGCCGUGUAAUCAAAGGAGUACAAAAUGGAACCUGUUGUUUACUGAAGGAAACAAAUUUUAGAAACUUAGCAUUAAACAGAGUCACAGAGAGGGUUCAGAAGUGUGAGAUUGGAGUAUAGAGUGUGGACUGCUCCACACUUCCCCUGUAUGCUCGGAGCGUUGCUGGAGCCAUUUUAACCCCAGGAAUCCAGGUGUCCAGACUCCUUCUGACCUUAACAGCUCUGCCGUGGAGCAAAGUGAUGAAUUCUUCUUUACUUCCUAUUCCAUGAGGUUAUCUGACAUCCUAGGAGGAUGGCUGUCUUUUUUGUUUUAUUAUAUUUUAUUUUAUUUUAUUUUGGAUCCAGUACUUUAAUGUCCACAGGCUCGUAGUAACUUCCACACUUUUCUUUUUGACCUUGUCUUAACUACUAUUGUUGUUUUUAGGUUUCAAACCUGAAGUAGUUUAUAUUUUUUCUAUUGAAAAGUCCUAGGGGUUGGGGAUUUAGCUCAGUGGUAGAGCGCUUGCUUAGGAAGCGCAAGGCCCUGGGUUCGGUCCCCAGCUCCGAAAAAAAGAACCAAAAAAAAGAAAAAGGAAAAGUCCUGAGGCCUUCCAAGGAUUACCACUGAUAUCUUCUUCUGCCAUGGGACAUUAGAGAAACAAAGACAUGCGCUCUGCCCUGUGAAGAAGCAAAGAGAGUCUUCUAGGGCAUAAUCAUUGAUACUCUAGUCUGUAGACAAAUGGGAAUGAAUGCAGGGUCUCAGCCCAGCAAUUCCACACAGGGCGAAGCAAUGUGUUUUACUGGGAGAUGAUCUUCCAGAAAUAAGAACCCCAAAGUAGGAAGACCAGAGAAGCUUUGAAAGGGUCUGGUGGGUGAGAAAUUUGCAUCCCAGGGCCCCAUGAAAGCAGAUAUUGAUUAGCUUGAGGAAAGUGUGCCUUAAAACAGUCAUACUCCGCGUGCCAUUGAUCUUCAGACUGUCUCCCCAGGCUACAGCUCAGAGCUUAUCAAGGAAUUUAACAAUACCCUAAAGAAAAAAAUACUCAGUUGAAAGAGCAGAGGACAGCGAGACCCUGGAGGCCUCCCUUGAUUUUAAUAUUUUCAAGCUCUUCCAGAAGCUAUGGUGCUUUGAUCCAUCACUACUGGGAGAUGGGAGACUGGGGCUAAAAUUCACUUCUCGCUGAGGAAAAGGCACUUUGAUAUGAAUAAAUAAGCAGAUGUUUACUGUAUCGAUAUCCGACAUGCCUUCUUAUGGGGAUCUGGGGAGACUAUUAAUUGCGGUAAUGAAAACUCUUUAUAAUGACACGGCGGACCUGACUAACCUGACUCAAAGCUCAAAGUGAGUGCUCUAAGACACGGUGAGCAACAAAGAAAAGAGAGGAAAGAAAGAGACACCCACUCCUCGGGAAAUAGGCCUCGGAGAUACAUAAGACCUCUUGUCAGUAGUGAGAGUGAUGGGUGCAAUACCAUACCCAUGUGUAAUCACACACAUCUGUGUGCUCUCACAACGUGGUGAGCUCCUUUGAGCUCCAGUUUGGCCAGAGUGUGGUCAUGACAUUAUUCUUUUAUUGCAGACAGAUGAAGUGACUUGGCUUUGCGUAGGAAGCUUUGGAGAAACGGAUUUCCAUCUGAAGCAACUAAUUACUCAGCUGAAAGUGUUGUUCAAAAGGCAUUUGGCAAACGCUACCUAUUAUCCUCGAGAAGCCAUAAAUGAACUGCCACAGUGGAGCUCUGUCAGCUGACCCACGUGGCCGGGCUUGCCUUUCUAAUUGGAUGCACCUUCCAGCAAGCUGAUACUCAGAAAAGCAGAAGAAAUUGUCUUCCGUAUUUUGAAAUCAUAGAUUUUUUCCCCCACCAAUGUGACAAUGAGAGGGUGCAAGUGCUUCAGCUACAGAAUUCAGCAAGGCUAUCUCUCUGGUUGUGCUGUGUUGUGUGUGAGAUCUUAAUUACAUGUCCCCCUGCUGUAUCCAACAUCCAAAUCCUCCCACAUAAACUCAAUAUUGAAAACUCGGGUUGGAAGAUUGGUACUGAUUUUUUUUUAAAAGAUCUUCAAGCAAUUUAUUGGUGAGAGAGCAGUGUGCAAAGAGAUGUGUGUUCACUUGCACUAGUUAGAAAGUGCGUGCCCUUGAUGAACAACCAUGUGGUUGAAAUCACGGGAGGAAGAACUGUAAUGGCUCCCAAAUACCUAAUUGCCAUGGAUCGGUUAGAGAGACAAGUUGGAAGAAUGAAGGACAAAUUUCCGUAUUCUACCACAUGGAGCCACAAAAGUAACGCUGACUUCGGGGGCACACAGUUCGCUGCUUGCAAGGCUGAAGAUUCUUGUAAUACCGUCGACAAUCAGAAAAGGGAAGUGCUUCAUAACCCUGAAAUAUCCCUUGUGCUGAUCCUGAAUCCAAACUUUACCUUGUCCCAAGCCCUGAAACAUGCCCAUAAGAUUGGAAGAAUGCAAUGUGUAUCAUCGGCCGCUCCCUACUUGGCUGAGCUCCUCUGACAUCCGUCCAAUUUGCCGUACAGAUUGAUCAUUCCACGUUACAAAUGAGUAGCUUCAGCAUGGAAAUAAAGACAUGGUGUUCGUUUCUUCAGUCAUUCACGGACACUUGGAUAUUUCUAAUUUUUUAACCCUUACUGAUGGAAUAGUCACGAGCAUUUGCGGAUACAUUUAUGCACAAACCAAAGUUCUCCCUUCUCUGAAAUAAAUACCUAGGAAUAGACGGGUGGAUCAGGCCAAGAAAUAGCAAGUGCAGUUUUGCAUUAGCAUUAAAAAGCUGCCAACAUUUUCUUCAUAAAGAGCUGUGCCAGUUUCCACCCUGCCAGUGCAAAGUGUGAAAAUUACAGUAACUCCCAACUUGCUAGCACCUGGCAUUGUCUUUCUCGUGUGUACGUAUGCGUUCACGUGUGUUACAUGUGUGAUAAGUGCUUAUCUAUAAUAGUCUUCAUAACAGCUGUGGAACAACCUGCCACGACUCAUAUUCACAUUUAUUCAACGGUUGCUAAUUUGGGAAACAGUCACGUGCUUACUUUCAUCCGUGUGUCUUUAUCAAGUGUCCACUUAAAUAUCUCGCCUGUUAUAAUUGAGUUGUUUGUCUUAAGACUGUAUUGUGAGAGCUCAUUAUAUCAUAAUCAAGGUUUCUGAGUGACAUGCAAUUUGCACUUGUUUUUCUCAGGCUGCAGUUAUCUGUUCAGUCUCUUGAUGGCAUAACUCAGAGAACAAAUGGCAGAUUCGGAUUUUGAUGUUCAGUUGCUUGAUGCCUAGGUCUCCUAUGACUAAGCAGAGCUUGGUAAAUCUUAUACCUGCUUUCUUCCGUAAAUUUUCUAAUCUCGCCUUUCAUACUUUGGUGGGUGAUCCAGUCUUGGUCACUGUGUGAGAAAGUGGUAUGUUGCUCACCCCGCCACAGCUCCGACAAAGUACCUGCUAAGGUCAAGUUACAGGAGGGAAGACUGACGCAGGCUGGAGUUGUUCAAGGUUGAGCCUGUAGUGUGAGGUUGAGCUGUUCAAGGCUGAGCGUGGCAGUGUGAGGAUGUGAUACACAAGACUAUCCCCUAAGAAAUACAGAGCAAGGAAAGAGACUGGGCUUCCAAUAUUCCCUUUAAGGAUGUGUCCUCAGUGAUCUAACUUCCUCCUGUACCUGUAAUGUGUGUGUGUGUAUGUGUGUGUGUGUAUACAUAUAUAUAUAUAUAUAUAUGUGUGUGUGUGUGUGUGUGUGUGUGUGUGUGUGUGUGUAUACAUAUAUACAUAUAAUUUCGUAUAGUUUUGACCACACUGUUAUAACAUUUGGUUUCCACUAUCUUUCAAAUUUAAAGCUUGGUGUGGAAAAUGAAGUAUAUUAUAUCAUCCAGACAUCAAUCAUUUUUCUUGCUGUUCCUGUGUCACUGGCGUUCCAAAUUUCAUACUGAUAUUUUUCCCCCUUAGAAGAACUAUAUUCCUUUAGAACAGGUUUGUCAAGGAUGUAUAUUCUUUGUUUUCCUUCUGAGAUGAAUCUGUAUUUCAACUUUAUUCCUACAGUAUAUAUUUAUUUUGCUAGAUUUAGACUUCUAGGUUGACAAUGCUUUUCUUUCCACAUUUAAACAACGCUACUAUGUUGUGUCCUGGCAUCCGUAGUUUCUGGAAAGAAAAUAGUGGCCAUUUGAGUAAUUCUUUCUCUAAAUAUAAUUGAGUACUUUUCUCUGGUUGUUUGUAAGAUUUUCUUUCCUGAAUUUUUAGACAUGCGCAUGGGUGUAAAAGGUUACUGGUUUGUUUUUGUUUUGUUUGUUGUUUUAUUUAUCAUUCUGGGGACUCAUGAGUUUCUUGACUCUUAAGAUUAUUUCUAGUCAAAUCCAUGAUAAAUUGGGUUAUUAUUUCUUUCCAUAAUUUUUUUGUCCUUUAUAUUUUUCCUUAUUUUUCCUUUAGGUAUUUGGGGAUGUUUCAUGUUUCUUUCUGUGCUGUAGAAUUUAUUACGGGGUACUAAAGAUUUUGAAUGCCACAUUAUAGGACUGUAUGGAGAUUGUUGACCUUUAAAAAUAUAAUUUAACAUGCAAAUUG